This 975-nucleotide unclassified non-coding RNA is filed under the name Ixodes scapularis (black-legged tick). RNAcentral's name for it is "uncharacterized LOC121837948, transcript variant X2". The record is from RNAcentral. Lineage: Eukaryota; Metazoa; Arthropoda; Arachnida; Ixodida; Ixodidae.
GUUGACGUAUUAUUUUUUUUUUUAUUUUUUUUAUUUUCUUGCUUUUUGCAACCGCGGGACCGCGUUUCUGCGCUUCAGAUUGCGUUUUUCCGACUCCUUUGUUUGAUAUCGUGUCGUAUCGUCGUAUUUAUGUAGUUAUUAGGAACGGCAAGGCCUACGUUGUUGCGUCCUUUACCUGAAUAUCGUGACCGAAUCGAGUGUCGUCGAUUUGAAUCGUGUCUUGCGAACCAUCGUCGAACAAAAGGUGAUGGCUGGUCGUGGUUCAUCAGCGUUUGUUUUGAAACUGAUGGGUACCACAAGGCAUGAAGGAGGUGACUUGCAGCAGCAAGGCACUGCAAGCCUUCGCAGCAACUGGCUAGCCAGUGCUGCUCUGUUCUGAACUGCACUGCGUGUCAUGCGGAGGUUUUGUGCAAGCUCUCUGGGCGGUGACGCUAGCCACGGUUGGCUUCGUGGAUGCACAGAAAUACUCAAGGCGCUUGACGUCUGUGGCUCAUCUGUAUUGUUUUUCCCGGUACCACGGCAUGAAGGAGCUGGCCUCCCUCCCUUCCAUCAGCUGCGAGAUACUACAAGCAGUGGGCUACAGCUGCAGCUAGCCCAUGGGUACCGUUCUGCGUCCUGUACUGCAUCUAGUUCGAAAGGCCAUGUGAAAGGCAGGUACCGGGGACCAUGACAUCAGUGAGCUGGCUUUCACCUUGUCCAAGGCAGCAGCGGAACACUACGGGCGGGACCCUGGAUCACUGCACCAUGGAUGCCGUCCUGUACCCUGCACGGCACUGCGUGUGGCUUAAGUGGCCAAGCAGAGGGUCAUUGCAUGACUUUUAUGAGGCGCCGCUAGCCAUUGUUUCAAACCGUCCUGAAUCACGGACCAAGCCUUGCAAGACCUCACUCUUAUGCCCUCUCCUUUUUGGUGGAUCGGGUCUUGCCAUCUUCCCCUCUCGUGGCUCCCUGUCAUAAAUAAAUUGUAUAUUUUUCUGA